CCAAUGGCUGGUUAACAUCUCUCCGUUGAAUUUUAACAAGAAACAUCUUUUUGACACAGCAAGAAGAGCAAAGUCCCUUUGGAGCAGGGAGGCCAGGCUCAGAGGAGCCGCCAGGCACAUGAAAGGGAGCCCUAGGGAGUCACCUAAGGCUCUGAGCAAGAGAUGACAAGCUGGAGACCGGCAUCCCCUUUAAAGGGACCAACCCAGAGUGCUGUUCCAUCUUGAAGAUUCCAGCCCACAGAGUUGAAGGUAGGGAGGAGAUGGAUGCUCUGAUCCUGCAUUAAUAGAUUCCUAAGCUCCAAGGGACCUGGAGGGUGCCUGGCAGGCACUGAGCAAACCCAGCCGGCUUGGCUGUCGCCGCCUCCAGCCGCCCACCUGGACUCCGCCAGCCUGCCGGCUGUGGACUUUGCUGAGUCACUAACAGUGAUUUCCCUCAGCAUCCAAAGGAGUUGUGACAUCCCCCCUCAGAAACAGAGCAUCAACUGCACAAUUGUGUGAGCCCCUGCAGCAGAGGUGGCCAGUGGUCCCACCAUCCAGCUGUCCCAUGCAGAGCAUAAGGCUGUGGUCAGGAAGCAGCCGUCCACCCAGGAAGGCCAUUCCCACCCAGCCCCUGCCGUCAGCCUGGGGCCUAUGACUAGUUCUCACCAGGAGAGCGAGAACAGACUCAGUGCAUGUCACUUCUGCACUAAGGUUGUCAGAGAAGACCCUGCAGUCCCACCUGGAGGAAGCUGCCCACCAGUGGGGUGUCCACUAUCACUCAUGUGGGACUUCACAUGAUUGAAGAGUAA
This is a long non-coding RNA of Nycticebus coucang (slow loris), 788 nucleotides long. RefSeq lists it as uncharacterized. The transcript has 3 exons. The record is from RefSeq and is a predicted model, not a curated record. Lineage: Eukaryota; Metazoa; Chordata; Mammalia; Primates; Lorisidae.